RNAcentral lists this ribosomal RNA (870 nucleotides) under Gaeumannomyces tritici. RNAcentral's name for it is "eukaryotic LSU rRNA". It matches the Rfam family "Eukaryotic large subunit ribosomal RNA", at positions 40 to 938 of the family's 3401-position model. Lineage: Eukaryota; Fungi; Ascomycota; Sordariomycetes; Magnaporthales; Magnaporthaceae. The record is from RNAcentral.
AUAUCAAUAAGCGGAGGAAAAGAAACCAACAGGGAUUGCCCUAGUAACGGCGAGUGAAGCGGCAACAGCUCAAAUUUGAAAUCUGGCCCUAGGCCCGAGUUGUAAUUUGCAGAGGAUGCUUUUGGCAAAGCGCUUACCGAGUCCCCUGGAACGGGGCGCCACAGAGGGUGAGAGCCCCGUAUGGUAUGACGCCGAGCCUCUGUAAAGCUCCUUCGACGAGUCGAGUAGUUUGGGAAUGCUGCUCUAAAUGGGAGGUAAAUUUCUUCUAAAGCUAAAUACCGGCCAGAGACCGAUAGCGCACAAGUAGAGUGAUCGAAAGAUGAAAAGCACUUUGAAAAGAGGGUUAAAUAGCACGUGAAAUUGUUGAAAGGGAAGCGCUCGUGACCAGACUUGCGCCGGGCGGAUCAUCCAGCGUUCUCGCUGGUGCACUCCGCCCGGCUCAGGCCAGCAUCGGUUUUCGCCGGGGGACAAAAGCUUCGGGAACGUGGCUCCCUUCGGGGAGUGUUAUAGCCCGUUGCUUAAUACCCCGGCGGGGACCGAGGACCGCGCUUCGGCAAGGAUGCUGGCGUAAUGGUCAUCAGCGACCCGUCUUGAAACACGGACCGAGGAGUCAAGCAUUAGUGCGAGUGUUUGGGUGUAAAACCCGCACGCGUAAUGAAAGUGAACGUAGGUGAGAGCUUCGGCGCAUCAUCGACCGAUCCUGAUGUUUUCGGAUGGAUUUGAGUAGGAGCAUUAACGCUUGGACCCGAAAGAUGGUGAACUAUACUUGAAUAGGGUGAAGCCAGAGGAAACUCUGGUGGAGGCUCGCAGCGGUUCUGACGUGCAAAUCGAUCGUGCAAAUGUGCACUAUGUACGCGGAAGACUACUCGA